GGUCCUAUGGCUUAGAAGGCAAAGCGCCUGCCUAGUAAGAAGGAGAUGAUGAGUUCGAGUCUCGUUGUGACAU
Non-coding RNA from Daphnia pulex (common water flea), 73 nucleotides. The record is from Rfam. NCBI's taxonomy places the organism in Eukaryota, Metazoa, Arthropoda, Branchiopoda, Diplostraca, Daphniidae.